UCCGGGGUGGCGAAAUUGGCAGCCGCGCUUGACUGUUAAUCAAGUGUCCUAACGGACGUGUGGGUUCGAGUCCCACCCCCGGAG
This 84-nucleotide transfer RNA is filed under the name Thermoleophilaceae bacterium. Its description in RNAcentral is "tRNA-Asn". It matches the Rfam family "tRNA". From Rfam's summary of the family: Transfer RNA (tRNA) molecules are approximately 80 nucleotides in length. Their secondary structure includes four short double-helical elements and three loops (D, anti-codon, and T loops). The record is from RNAcentral. Lineage: Bacteria; Bacillati; Actinomycetota; Thermoleophilia; Thermoleophilales; Thermoleophilaceae.